RNAcentral lists this transfer RNA (72 nucleotides) under Marmota monax (woodchuck). It matches the Rfam family "tRNA". From Rfam's summary of the family: Transfer RNA (tRNA) molecules are approximately 80 nucleotides in length. Their secondary structure includes four short double-helical elements and three loops (D, anti-codon, and T loops). Lineage: Eukaryota; Metazoa; Chordata; Mammalia; Rodentia; Sciuridae. The record is from Rfam by way of RNAcentral.
UGGGCUGGGGCUCAGAGGUAGAGUACUCGCCUACCAUGUGUGAAGCACUGAGUUCGAUCCUCAGCACCACAU